UGGGGGAUAUUGCACAAUGGGCGAAAGCCUGAUGCAGCGACGCCGCGUGGGGGAUGAAGGCUUACGGGUUGUAAACCUCUUUCGCUAUCGAACAAGGCCCGCUUAGGGUGGGUUGAGGGUAGGUGGAGAAGAAGCGCCGGCUAACUACGUGCCAGCAGCCGCGGUAAUACGUAGGGCGCGAGCGUUGUCCGGAAUUAUUGGGCGUAAAGGGCUUGUAGGCGGCUUGUUGCGCCUGCUGUGAAAACGCGGGGCUUAACUUCGCGCGUGCAGUGGGUACGGGCAGGCUUGAGUGUGGUAGGGGUGACUGGAAUUCCAGGUGUAGCGGUGGAAUGCGCAGAUAUCUGGAGGAACACCGAUGGCGAAGGCAGGUCACUGGGCCAUUACUGACGCUGAGGAGCGAAAGCAUGGGUAGCGAACAGG
This 420-nucleotide ribosomal RNA is filed under the name bacterium. RNAcentral's name for it is "partial 16S ribosomal RNA". It matches the Rfam family "Bacterial small subunit ribosomal RNA", at positions 355 to 776 of the family's 1533-position model. The record is from RNAcentral.